GUGGCAACCUGCUUGGGUUCAGUUCGACGCUGUGAAAGUAUUGUUCUUUCGCUCUUUGUGAUAAAACUUGCUGCUGCUCACUCUUUGGGUCCACACUGCCUUUAUGAGCUGUAACACUCACUGGGAAAGUCUGCACCUUCACUCCUGAAGCCAGCGAGACCAUGAACCCACCAGGAGAAAUGAGCAACUCCAGACGCGCUGCCUUAGGAGCUGUAACACUCACUGCGAAGGUCUGCAGCUUCACUCCUGAGCCAGCGAGACCGCGAACCCACCAGAAGGAAGAAACUCCGAACACAUCCGAACAUCAGAAGGAGCAAACUCCAGACACGCCAACUUUAAGAACUGUAACACACCGCGAGGGUAUGCGGCUUCAUUCUUGAAGUCAGUGAGACCAAGAACCCACCAAUUCCGGAUACAGUGGGAACAGGUCAGUGAAUUUGUCUCCCAGGGCUGCAUGACCAAGCACCACAAGCUGGGCGGCUUAGAACACCAGGAGUUUAUUCUCAUGGUGCUGGAGGAUGGAAGUCUAAAAUCCAGGUGUGGGCAGGGCCAUGCUCUCUGAAGUCUCCAGGGCAGGAUCCUUCCCUGCCUCUUCCUAGUUUCUGGUGGUUGCCAACCAUAGUUGGCCUUCCUUGGCUCCGUAGACACAUGACUCCAAUCUCUGCCUCCAUCCUCACCUGGCCUUCUCCUGCGUCUCUCUUUGCAAACUUACCUCUUCUUAUAAGGACCCCAGCCACUGGGUUUGGGGCCCACCCUAAUCCAGCAUGGCCUCUUCUUAACUGAAUGACAUCUGCAAAGACCCUGUUUCCCAGUAAGGUCCCAUCCACAGGUACUGGGGCUUCAGGCUUGAGCAUAUCUUUGGGGGGCCGCAAUUCCACCUACAACAGUAAAGUCGUGGAAGUUGGGGAGACUUAUUCACAUUUGGGAAGCUGGUAGAAGUUAUCUGUCGUGCAGAGUUAAAAAGAGUACAGAAGAGUGACUUGCCCAGCUUCCUGGGGCCUCCCCAGAGGCAGCCACUGAUGUCAGACUCCCAGUGUGUCCAGCGACAGUUUGUACACAGGCAAGCAAGUCCCGUGUGCAUUCUCCGUACUGAGCCCCAGUUGUGCACCUGUGCACAGAGACCGUGCGGGUGGGUGUGCAUCCUUCCCCUGACCUGGGUGUGCUUCCUCUAGAGGGCUGGAGCCUGAAGCUUUUAUCUGAAGGACUGAUCUUGGACUACCAGAUUCUGCUUUGUCUGUACAUGCAGAGUCAGAAGUAGCUGGGAAUUCAGAUCUCCCAGGGCAGCCCUCAGCCAACCACUAGCAGUGGGGGUAAGGAAAGCCCUGCUGCCACAAGCUCACCCUGCAGAGUCCCCUACAGGGUCAGGCUUAGCUCCCUCCUGAAGCUUCAGCUGAGACCACGACCUGCUAGGCAUCCUCCCCUCCCCAGAGGGCCCGGCUUCUUCCCCGGGCCCGCUAGGGGGCGCGCGCCCUCUCCGCGGAGUUCUCUGCUGCUGGGAAGGCGAGCCGGCCCCCGGGACUUCAGAGCCGGAGCCAGGCACUUAGCUUCCUUCUGGGGACCCUGAGGCACGGGAAGAGAAGGGACCUCCUGCUCGCAGUGUCCCCCUUGCGCUGUCCCUGCUAGUGACAGGAAGCUCUUCUCACCCUGUUCGUGGGCCCGGCUGUGUCUCCUCCUCGCCUUCACCUGCCGUUGUGACCUGCAGUGCCCUCCCCAGCUUGAUCCCUACCUGGAACCCCUCGGUGUCCUGUCCCAGGCCACGCUGAAGGUGGGCGGUGCGUGCUGCGGGUGACUGGCUGAAUGAAUGAAUGAGCCAACACAGGAAUGCCCGUGGACACCACCAGGGGUCUUUCUGCGAAAGUGCGGUGACACCAGGGGUCCUCCUGCGGCCCCGGGAGGGCCCAGACUCGGCCUGAGGGGCUCAGCACCGGCUCCUCCCAUUCCCUUCCUUCCUCCUGACUUGCUGUGGUUCUUUAAGUUUGGUAAUUAAUGUCAUUCUAAGUAAAGGAAAAACAAGCAGUCGAGUCAUUCGCAUGAAUUGUUGGGCUCAUCAUUUUACGGUGCGAUGCCGUCUUAGGCGCAGAGCGUCUCACUUGUGCACUAACGCGCCACAAUGGCACAUGGGUAGUGCACAGUUCGUACAGGCACGUGUAUUUCGAUCUUACAGGACAAUGGAAAGGCUGCACAAAUCUAAACCCACUGUCACCUCUGGGGCUCGUGCAUUCUGCCAACACCCCAUAGGAACCCGGAUCUCAGACGUCCCAGCAACAGCACUGACCUGACCAGAAGACAAGAGGAAGACGGAGACGAGAGGAAGAUGGAGACAAGAAGAUAGAGACAAGGGUGUGCCCCCAGGGAGCCUUGCCUGCCCCUCUAGGGCUGGGUGUGUUCUUACCAUGGUGGGAGACCUGGGGGCUCUGGCUGCCCUGUGGAUGUUGGAUGGGGGUGAGGUAGACCCACAGACGCAGGCAGUGGUUGGACAAUGAGGUGUCUGGCUGCAGGAGCAGCUGGCUGGGGGGCUGGCCUGGGUGUUGGGGGCUGUGGCCUGCUCUGCCGAGAGACUAAGCUGCCUUCCCUGAGCCAGGAGCAGCAGGAGGUGACAUCUAGGAACAGUGAGGUCCCAAGUUAGGCAGUGACAAAACAUUUGACAAGACUAACAUCUCUUCCCAUGAGAUGACCCUAGGGAAAGAACAGAAUAAAUACAAACAUCUGUACCUUCAGAAAACUUCCCUAAAACAAAAAGAUUUGGAACUACAUAUUGAAAGAGUACACCAUGUAUUUGAGAAGACAGACCCAGGGUAACCAACAUCAAAACAUGUUCUAGUAAAAUUACCAAUCUAAAAAAAAAAAAAAAAUCCUUGAGUCCAGGUUAAAAGAGUGAGGGACUUAUACUAAAAUAAAAAUUAGAUUGUCGUGCGACUUUUCAACCACAACACGUUCUGCCAGAAGAAAAAGGAGAAACAUACUGUACUUAAAAUACUCGAGAGAA
This 2986-nucleotide long non-coding RNA is filed under the name Homo sapiens (human). Its description in RNAcentral is "long non-coding RNA NONHSAT216581.1". The record is from RNAcentral. Lineage: Eukaryota; Metazoa; Chordata; Mammalia; Primates; Hominidae.